CCGAGCCUCAGCACUCGGAGCUUCCUGUGGAAAUAAGCUAGGGAGAACUGUCUUGGUGAACAGACCCACAGCACAAUAGUUGUCUUCUGGUCACUGCUAAGGAUAUGGAUCUAAUUAGGAUGUAGUCUUAAUUAGGAUGCAUUGGAAAAGUUGACCAUAUGGUGAUAGAAGAUGAAUAAAUUGUGACAAAAAAACUUCUCGCCUAGUAUAGGAAAAAAAACUACACUUUUUUUUUUUUUUUUAAACAAUCUUCAGGGAUUCCUGGCUGCCAAAGACCUUUUUGAUUAGAAACCUAAGAAAGUACCAUAUUUUAAAGCUGAGGACACACAGUACUUGGGAACAGUGUGGCCUAUGCUUGACCUGGAAUAGAUGUUCUCUGUAACAAAGCAAAGCUGAUGAAAUUGUAGAAACCUUUGUUUUUGUUUUGUUUCUAAGAGAUGCUGUAACUGGCUGCACUUAAUAAAUACGUGACUUGGAAUCGCUCCAGGGGGAAUCAUGACAGACCUGCCCCCGCCCUCCCCACACACAUUUCAGGAUCUGAGACCUGGCAGAAGAUCAGCUACAGGAAGAGAUGCCUGAAUGAUUUCCUGACUUCAUAGAAGACUGCAUGACGUGGAUGACUUCUUUCUGUGGACACGUUUAGAAGGCAAAACGUUUUAUCAGAGNNNNNUUUUUUUUUUUUUUUUUUUUUUUUUUUUUUUUUUUUUUUUUUUACUACAUGAGUGAGCUUUCAAGAUGAAGAUGUAAAAAGUCAUGCAAGCUGCUGGGCUCCAGUCAAGUACAUUGUCCCUCCUGACCAUGACUGCUCUGAAGGCAGGGUAGCUGUCUGAUGUGUCCUGCUGGCACCUGAGUACUUCAGGUGUCGUGGUUUAACCCGGCCGGCAGCUAAACACCACGCAGCCGUUUGCUCACCCUCCCCCCUCCCUUUCUGGGACGGGGGAGAGAAAUGGAAAGUGAAGCCUGCUGGAAGGAUUAUCCUGUUGCAUUGUAAACAACCACUAAACCUUCUAAAGAGAUUUCUCAUCUGCACUGUUUUGCUGAAAAGUCUUGCACAAGACAUGCAAGUUCAUGCCUUCCUUGCAUACCUGCCUAAGUUACUGAAUAUUAGAUGUCUUCCAUGUUCAAGGCCACACUGA
Molecule: long non-coding RNA, 1136 nt
Filed under: Cairina moschata (Muscovy duck)
Lineage: Eukaryota; Metazoa; Chordata; Aves; Anseriformes; Anatidae
Description: domestica (muscovy Duck (domestic type)) lncRNA (ENSCMMG00000015003.1)
Source: RNAcentral